RNAcentral lists this microRNA (22 nucleotides) under Branchiostoma lanceolatum (amphioxus). Its description in RNAcentral is "Bla-Mir-193-P1h2_3p (mature (guide))". The record is from RNAcentral. Lineage: Eukaryota; Metazoa; Chordata; Leptocardii; Amphioxiformes; Branchiostomatidae.
CACUGGCCCUCUACGUCUUGGA